Etheostoma cragini (Arkansas darter) is the source of this 98-nucleotide long non-coding RNA. RefSeq lists it as uncharacterized. NCBI's taxonomy places the organism in Eukaryota, Metazoa, Chordata, Actinopteri, Perciformes, Percidae. The record is from RefSeq and is a predicted model, not a curated record. The transcript has 3 exons.
ACAUCAGCUAAAUCAGUGGUUCCCAACCUUUAUUCCUUGGCGCUCCCCGUACGUACAGUACGUCUAAGAAAAGCUGAGCUGGCCAACUAAGAAACCUU